RNAcentral lists this non-coding RNA (26 nucleotides) under Arabidopsis thaliana (thale cress). The record is from RNAcentral. Lineage: Eukaryota; Viridiplantae; Streptophyta; Magnoliopsida; Brassicales; Brassicaceae.
UUGAACGCAAGUUGCGCCCCAAGCCU